AGCAAGUAUUUGAGAAGACCAAAGCGAAGUUCUCCCUUUAUUGAGAGAAGAAGAAAAACUACUGCUAUCUGAUCUCAUUACUGAUCCUGAUGUUAAUAAACUAAUUAAUGCUUUUUUUCUGAAUAAUACACAAUAUUUCUAAGACACAUUUUCCGAAAUUGUAUCUAUCUGUUGAACUUAACAUGGGGAUAUCAGUUAAAUAUACGCAUGAUUCUUCUUUGAUUAUCAAUAAACAGAAGUUUUAGACAAAUAUUGUUCCUGCAAACCAUACAAGUAUCAUUGCACUGCCUUUUUUAUAUACAAAAACAAUAACGUAGAACAUCCGAGAUGGCUUCUUUAACAUCAAAUCAAGACUUGUGUUAAUUAAUACUUAAUGAUUAACUAGAAUAUAGUCACUUCAUUAAACUACGUUAAUCAGUGAAAUCCUGGUGCAAAUUUUUCCUUUUUUAUCCAUAUCGUUUAUCUUGUAUUAGCAUUUAACUAAUUGACGACUUCGCCAUUCCGGUCAUUCUACCCGGAACGGUAAAGAAGCCAUCUGCUGCUUUUGAUGAGUCUCGCAAGCUGUUUCAGAGGCUUUGGACUGAUGAGGAUGAAAUUGAGUUGUUGCGAGGAUUUCUGGAGUACACCAUCCAGCGUGGCCUGAACACUUCUUCCCAGCAGCACCAUUACGAUACGACCGCAUUUUACAAGCAGAUCAAGUCCAAAUUCCAGCUGGAUUUCAACAAAAAUCAGCUUGUGGAAGUCAAUGCCUUGACACCAAAGAAGAGUUCGACCCAACACUUUAUUUCUAUCCUAGUUGAUCCUGAUUCGACAUUAGAAGUAUGUUGGUUUUUUCCCCAAUAACCGAAUACUUUUAUCUGUAAAUACUACAUAUUUGAUUCCAUCCAUAAAUCUAUUUUCUCCCCCUAUGAGUUAUAGUCCCAAUAAGAAUGCUAGUUCUUACCGUUCAUAUAUUAUGAUAUGACUAUACCACAUCAAUUCAUUAUGCAGUACCUAACGUUUCUCAAGAAAACUGAAGCGUUGGCUACACACAGUAGCGGAUCCAAAAUUUACAAUGUUAGACUAUGAAGCAAUAGAUUCUGCUGAAUCUGCAAACACAGAGUUGAAUCAGCCACAAGCUACAGCAGAGACAUAAAGUUUGCUGCACUUUUAGCAAUCGUUAAAAAGAAAAAGAGUAACUCAACUUUUUCUUGAAAAUGAACCUGGGAAAAGGCAGACAGUUGAAAAUGCAGAGCAGCAAGCAUUUAAAUCAGAGACAUCAAGAAUGACACUAACCCAACAUUUUGGUCUUUCUAUCAUUUCCAUUUCUAUUUACAAAAUAGACGAAACAUCUAUAUUGCAUCAAAGUCUGCAAACAAGCAGCUGACUGAAAACUAAUUAGAAGUCAUUAUUUAGCAACCAAAAGCUAAACCAUCCACCUAAACCAUCCACUGUCAUUAACAACCUGGGGUAAAAUUAUCAACUAGAAUUAUUUCAAUAAGUUGUAUACAUUAGAAAAGCAACAUUUUCAAUUGUUACUUCCCAUUGAUCUCAGCUCCUCCAAUUGUGCUUUCACCUGAUCCUGAACCAAUUCCAACCUCUUCGAAUAAACCUCCAGCUCCAGCAUUUGCUGCUUCCUCCAUUUCUCAUCCCCCAUCAUUUCCAUGCUCAUUGCACCUCCCCCAAACCCCAGUCCCAGUCCCAGCCCCUGCCCCAGCCCCAGUGGGAUUGGACUCAUCCCCAUUCCUCCAAAGCCAAACCCAAACCCUCUAGCAGACCCAUUCAAAUUGGCCACAUUGUUCACCAGCUCCUUGAAAAUUGGUGAUACACAGUUCCUCACUGUUUCCUCAAUCAGGUUCGGCACAGAAGCAGCCACCGUGGUGGGAGCUGAUGCAGCAACUCCAGCCACCGGUGGUGCAGCAACUCCAGACACCUGUGGUGCAGCAACUCCAGACACUGGUGGUGCAGCAGGGGCAGCUGCCACCGGGUUGGAGUUUGUGGCCGGCAUUUGCACAUUAAUGCGGACCCCAGGUGGCUGAUAAGGCUGAUGCUCAACUUUAACAGCUUCUAAAGGUACUGGGGACCUUUUCUGUGAUCUUGGAGUUUUGAUGGCAAUUCCAUUAGGGUUAGAGUUAAGAUUAAACUUAGGGCUAUGAUAAAGGACAAUUGAAUCAGGAUUAGGGUUAGGGUUAACAUCCUCAUCAUCCUCCAAUCCCAAUCCAACACCACCAUCUUCUAGCGGUGGGGCGGAGAAACCAACAGAGCCUCCAGGGCUGCUGCGGGCAUAAGAGCCUCCAGUACUCCAGAUCCUGUGAGAGAUGUCGAAAGUUACCUGAUCAUGAGCACUUUUGAAAACAAAGUCCUUGCCAGAUCCCAUCUUGCUCACCACAGUCCUGUACUUUUUCUUCAGUCGGCGGAGUUUCUCCACAAGCUGGUUUUUGUUGAAAUCCAGCUGGAAUUUCGACUUGAUCUGCUCGUAAAAUGCGGUGGUAUCGUAAUGGUGCUGCGGGGAAGAAGUGUUCAGGCCACGCUGGGUGGUGUACUCCAGAAAUCCCCGCAACAACUCAAUUUCAUCCUCAUCCGUCCAAAGCCUCUGAAAAAGCUUGCGAGACUCAUCAAAAGCAGCAGAUGGCUUCUUUACCGCUCCGGGAAGAAUGACCGGAAUGGCGAAGUCGUCAAUCCUAGGGCGUUUUCCCGGAUUCAUCAUUCCAGCUCCGGAAUCUCCUGUGGACACGCCGGCGACCGCUAUGGUCACCUCACCGGCGAUGGAGGGGGAAGAGGUAGAAUCCUCAUCACCUUCCAGCUCCAUAUCAACCUCAUAAUCGAGGUUGUCGUAGGAUGCCUGGUGAUGACGAUUUGGUACAGAAUCCAUGGUGGAAAGAACAAUGUUUUUUUCUUUUUUUUUCUGAUGAAAGAGGAGGAGAUUUUAGGGGGUGUGGGCUCUAGGGUUCAGUGGGCUAAGGUAAAAGUAGUAAACAGAGUGCGGCGCAAGAGGUUAGGCCAAGAGUAAAGACAGACGGUCACAAACUAUUGGUUAAUAAUUUUAAGUUAGUUUCGUGCAAGACUUAAUUUGGUACUUUGGUUGAAUGAUUCACUAGAUCGGCGCGUUGUAGCCGGUAGCAUUUACUGGGUUCCCUGGUAAGCCGGUACCCGGUGAGCAUCGUCUCCUCUCACCUACUUCACUUUUCACUCAUAAUUAAAAGGCUAUGUUGACUAAGUUUAAGAAAAUUAAAUAUUUUAUAAACAAAAGGAUUAAUUGAGAUAAAUAGAAGUUAAUUAAUAUGUGAUGAAAUCGUAGACUGCUCCUAAUAAAUAUUGACUAAUAAAUAUUAGUUAAUUUUAAUUUAAAAUUUAAUUACUUGGAAAAGAAAAGAUUUAAAUAUGUAAUUGAGUUUUGAGAAAAGACUUAUUUAUGCUUUUUUGUUAAAAGUUUGGCUUAUCUAUAACUUUUAACGGAUGAAAUCAUCUAUUCUAGGACCCUUGCCAUGAUUCAUCAUUGGAGCGGCAGAAUCUUUGGUGGAGACACCGGCAACCGCUAUGGUCACCUCACCUACAAUGGAGGGAGAAGAGUUAGAGUCGUCAUCACCCUCCACAUCCAUGUCUACAUCAUAAUCGAGAUUGUCAUCGUUGUGGAUGGUGAUGAGGAUUCUACUUCUUCUCCAUCCUACAACGAUGACAACCUCGAUUAUGAGGUUGACAUGGAUGUGAAAGGUGAUGAAGACUUAACUCUUCUCCCUCCAUUGCCGGUGAGGUAACCAUAUUAGUUGCCGGUGUCUCCGUUGGAGAUUCUACCACUCCAAUGACGAAUCAUGGCAAGAGUCACAUAAUUGAUGAUUUUGUCAUUCCAUCACUUAAAAGUUUGACUCAUUUAUGUCAUUUCAGUUAACAAAUAAUGACACGAAUGAACCUUUUUUUCAAACGAAAAUGACGUAGAUGAGCCAAACUUUUAACAAAGGGCAUAAAUAAAUCUUUUCUCAAAGUUCGAUGACAUAAUUUAAACCUUUUCCAAGUAAUCAAAUUUUAAAUUAAAAUUAACUAAUAUUUAUUAGUCAAUAUUUACUAGGAACAAAGUCUAUGAUUUCAUCACAUAUUAACUUCUAUCCUAUCUCAAAUAGACCUUCUUGUUUAAUAAAAUAUUUAAUUUUCUUAAACUUAGUCAAACAUAGCCUUGUAAUUGAUGAUUUUGCUAUUCUAUCCGUUAAAAAUUUGGUCUAUCUAUAUCAUUUCAACUAACAAAUAAUGGCAUAGAUGAGCCUUUUUCUCAAACAAAAUGACAUCUAUGAGCCAAAUUUUUAACGGAUGAUAUAAAUAAGUUUUUUCCUCAAAAUUUGAUAGCAUAUUCGAGCCUUUGUAAAUGUUUCAAUUGAAUACCUAAAAGAAGAUGCUUAUAGAGACAUUAAACAAACUUUUAUUAUAUUGUUAAAAAACUUUUUGCUAAACUAAAGUAAAAUAAUGUGACAUGGCAUCCCAUUAAAAGAGAGGAAUAUAUUUUGAGAAAAAUAAAAAUAAUUGGACGAUAUUGUGAUCUUAAAAGAAACAAAAAUAAUAUUAUAAGGCAUAUCUCAAACAUGAGUAACUAAGUGGGAUAUACGAAAAUCUUAUUACUAUUUUUAUAAUGUUAUUUUGUGAUAGAUGGUCGGUUCGUUCUUUUUUUAAAAAAAAAAACCUUAUAAACUAAUAACAAGUAAAAUUUUAUAUAAAAUAAGAAGUAAAAUUGUACAAUAAUAACAUGGUAAAAUGAUAAAUAGGAUAAUUGUAAAUGUUAAACUGAACUGCGUAUAUUGAAAGAUUAGAUGGUGUUAGGUGUAUGCACGUGUCGAACACAAAUUUAGAAGCCUAUGUCCAACAUGGUUAAAAAAACUCAAUUAUUCAAAUUAAUAGAGCAGGGUGCAUGCUACCUUUAAAGUAGGUUUUGGAGGAGAACAAAUUGAAAAGUAUAGCACUUACUACGAGGGUUAUGGCGGAGCGUUUAUUCCUCAGAUAUGAAGUUACCUUUGUUAGAAAGCAUUCUUAUCCAUUAAUGUGGGACUUUGCAUCUCGAACUCCAAUGUAGAUAUCGAACACACUGGGUGAAAAACAAAAAAAAAUAUAAUAUUUGUCUAAAGCUUAUAAUAUAAUACGAUUUAAUGGUCAACAAAUGUACAUCGAGAAUAUAGACUAAAAUAGUAAAAAAAAAAAGGUCAUAUUAAGUUGAAUCAAUACUCACAUUUCUAACAAUUUGUGGUAGAUUUCUUUUAACAUAUAUGCUAACUUUAUUCGUUAAUAUUGUAAUAUGGAUCAUCGACUUCAAUAAUACUACUUCUGUAGUAAGGAUGUAAAAUUGAUUUUUUUUUAUGAGAGAGAUAUAUUAUUAAAGCUUACUUGAGUUCUUUCUCUUAUUCUUUUUAAAUGUAUUUAUUUGCUAAUAUCUAAUAUUUUUACUUAUCAAAAUAUCCACUAAUGUAAAAUUAAAUACAAUUUUUUUCACAAGUCACAAACAACAGCUAAUUCCAGUCCGUAUUCGAAAACUAGCAGUGCAAUUUGUCAGUCCUUCCAUGACCCAAGUCAGGUAGCUUUCUACCUAUAAUAGAGUGCUCUCAAAUUCAAAUCAUCAAUUAACUAUCAAUUAAUUAUUCAAAAAUUCUUAUAGCAUAUCAUAAAAAAAAAAUCAUAACAAACUUGUUUAUCAAAAAGCAAUAUAACACAAUUUUUAGAGAGAUUAUAGAGAAUAAAAUUAAGGAGAAGGGGUUCAAAAAUUUCUUUAAAUUGAUUUUAUUAUAAAAAUUGCUGACGUAUCCAAUAAAAACAUCACCCUUGAUAUUUAUCACAAAAGAGAUAUCUUGUAUCUCAUUUUCUCUCAUGUUAUUUAUAUAUUUUUUAUAUUACAAAAGAUAAUUUUGGAAAGAAGAAAAAAAAUUCAAUUGCAAAUUCAUCAUUUUUAAUAAAUAUUAAGAUGCAUGUAUAUGAUAAAGAAAAAAUCAAGUAAACAGGAAAAUUAUAUAACAUUCAUUGAACACUCAUAAUUAUAAGAUAGUGUAAGAGAAAAGGAAAACUCACCAAAAAUAUGCAAAUAGCAUAUGUGAAAAUAAAAUUAUUGUGAAAUCUCAAGCUAGAAGCGAUGAAAUUGAUGACGACAAAGAAAUAAAGAUGAAUCUGCAAAAAAUUAAACCAAAUGUUAGAGAGAAAUCUACAGAUCAAAUCCUAAUAACGAUAAAGAAAAAGAGUAGGAGAACACGAGAGAAGAGAACCAAAGAAACAUAUAAUAUAACGGAUGGGGAGAACUAAUUAAUAUUUUAAUGACGAUGAUAUGUAAACUCUCCAGAAGUUACAUAUGACAGUUAGACUAAAUUGAAAUUACAUAUAUAACUCUCGUCGUUUUUAGAAAAUAAAAAAAGAAGAGAAACUCAUCAAGAAUAAACAGGUAACAGACGCGAAAGCAAAAUUAUUAUGAAACAUUAAGUUAGAAGGGAUAAAUUGACAAUGACAAAGAAAUAAAGAUAAAUCUGCAAAGAAUUAAGUCAAAUAUAAGAGAGAAAUUUACAGAUCAAUUCCAAAAGAACAAUAAAGAGAAAGAGAGCACAAGAAAUGAGAAACAAAGAAACAUAAAAUGUAACAGGUGAGGACAAUUGAUAUUUUGAUGAUAAUGAUGCCUAAAUUCUAUGAAAGUAAUAUAAGAUAACUUAAGUCAGUUGAAAUUACUAAUAUAACCUUCAUCGUCUUUACGAUCCACACUUAUAUCGUUAAAGAACACAAUUGAACACUUAUAACGAUAAAUACUGCAAGAAAAAAAGAGUUUAGGAAAACUCACCAAACUACAUAACUAACAAAUGCAAAAAUAAAAUUAUUGUGAAAGCUUAGUCUAAAAAAUAUGAAAUUAAAGAUCACAAAGAAAUAAAGAUGAAUCUGCAAAAAAAACUAAACUAAAUGUUAGAGAGAAAUCUAAAAAUCAAACCCUAAAAAAAGAUAGAGAGAAGAACACGAGAGAAGAGAAGCAAAUAAACAUCGACUAUAACAACUAAGGACAACUAAUAUUUUGAUGACGAUGACACUGAAACUCUCCAAAUGUAGCAUAAGAUAGCUAGAUCCAGUUGAAAUUAUAGAUAUAACCUUAAUUUUCCUUACGAACCACACUUAUAUCAUCAAAGAAUAUCAUUGAACACUUAUAACUGUAAAGAGUUCAAGAAAAGAAGAGAAGAGAAAAAACACAUCAAAACUACAUAAGUAACAGAUCUGAGAACAAAAUUAUAAUGAAACCGCAAGCUAGAUUUAUAAUGAAACCACAAGCUAGAUUUAUAAUGAAACUUCAAGCUAGAUGCGAUGAGAUUGAUGGUGAAAAGUAAAUAAAGAUGAAUCAACAAAGAAUUAUACCAAAUGUUAGAGAGAAAUCUAAAGAUCAAGCCCUUAAGAACGAUAGAAAGAAAGAGGGGCAGCGGAGAACACGAGAGAGGAAAAACGAAGAAACCUAG
RNAcentral lists this long non-coding RNA (7424 nucleotides) under Solanum tuberosum (potato). RNAcentral's name for it is "long non-coding RNA (STUB_LNC002244)". The record is from RNAcentral. Lineage: Eukaryota; Viridiplantae; Streptophyta; Magnoliopsida; Solanales; Solanaceae.